GACGAACGCUGGCGGCGUGCUUAACACAUGCAAGUCGAACGGUGAAGCGCCUUCCUUUUUGGUGGGUGUGGAUGAGUGGCGAACGGGUGAGUAACACGUGAGUAACCUGCCCCCUUCUUCUGGAUAACCGCAUGAAAGUGUGGCUAAUACGGGAUAUUCUGGGUCUGUCGCAUGAUGGGUCUGGGAAAGAUAUUGUUUCGGUGGGGGAUGGGCUCGCGGCCUAUCAGCUUGUUGGUGGGGUGAUGGCCUACCAAGGCGAUGACGGGUAGCCGGCCUGAGAGGGUGGACGGUCACACUGGGACUGAGACACGGCCCAGACUCCUACGGGAGGCAGCAGUGGGGAAUACUGCACAAUGGGCGCAAGCCUGAUGCAGCGACGCCGCGUGAGGGAUGGAGGCCUUCGGGUUGUGAACCUCUUUCGCCAGUGAAGCAGGCCUGCCUCGUUUGUGGGUGGGUUGACGGUAGCUGGAUAAGAAGCGCCGGCUAACUACGUG
This 494-nucleotide ribosomal RNA is filed under the name uncultured bacterium. RNAcentral describes it as "partial 16S ribosomal RNA". It matches the Rfam family "Bacterial small subunit ribosomal RNA", at positions 28 to 507 of the family's 1533-position model. The record is from RNAcentral.